Molecule: ribosomal RNA, 585 nt
Filed under: uncultured bacterium
Lineage: Bacteria
Description: bacterial SSU rRNA
Rfam family: Bacterial small subunit ribosomal RNA
Source: RNAcentral
CCUACGGGAGGCAGCAGUGGGGAAUUUUGGACAAUGGGCGCAAGCCUGAUCCAGCAAUGCCGCGUGAGUGAAGAAGGCCUUCGGGUUGUAAAGCUCUUUUGUCAGGGAAGAAACGGUGAGGGCUAAUAUCCUUUGCUAAUGACGGUACCUGAAGAAUAAGCACCGGCUAACUACGUGCCAGCAGCCGCGGUAAUACGUAGGGUGCAAGCGUUAAUCGGAAUUACUGGGCGUAAAGCGUGCGCAGGCGGUUUUGUAAGUCUGAUGUGAAAUCCCCGGGCUCAACCUGGGAAUUGCAUUGGAGACUGCAAGGCUAGAAUCUGGCAGAGGGGGGUAGAAUUCCACGUGUAGCAGUGAAAUGCGUAGAUAUGUGGAGGAACACCGAUGGCGAAGGCAGCCCCCUGGGUCAAGAUUGACGCUCAUGCACGAAAGCGUGGGGAGCAAACAGGAUUAGAUACCCUGGUAGUCCACGCCCUAAACGAUGUCUACUAGUUGUCGGGUCUUAAUUGACUUGGUAACGCAGCUAACGCGUGAAGUAGACCGCCUGGGGAGUACGGUCGCAAGAUUAAAACUCAAAUGAAUUGACGG